Molecule: ribosomal RNA, 594 nt
Filed under: uncultured Staphylococcus sp.
Lineage: Bacteria; Bacillati; Bacillota; Bacilli; Caryophanales; Staphylococcaceae
Description: bacterial SSU rRNA
Rfam family: Bacterial small subunit ribosomal RNA
Source: RNAcentral
GUGGAUAACCUACCUAUAAGACUGGGAUAACUUCGGGAAACCGGAGCUAAUACCGGAUAAUAUAUUGAACCGCAUGGUUCAAUAGUGAAAGACGGUUUUGCUGUCACUUAUAGAUGGAUCCGCGCCGCAUUAGCUAGUUGGUAAGGUAACGGCUUACCAAGGCAACGAUGCGUAGCCGACCUGAGAGGGUGAUCGGCCACACUGGAACUGGGACACGGUCCAGACUCCUACGGGAGGCAGCAGUAGGGAAUCUUCCGCAAUGGGCGAAAGCCUGACGGAGCAACGCCGCGUGAGUGAUGAAGGUCUUCGGAUCGUAAAACUCUGUUAUUAGGGAAGAACAAAUGUGUAAGUAACUAUGCACGUCUUGACGGUACCUAAUCAGAAAGCCACGGCUAACUACGUGCCAGCAGCCGCGGUAAUACGUAGGUGGCAAGCGUUAUCCGGAAUUAUUGGGCGUAAAGCGCGCGUAGGCGGUUUUUUAAGUCUGAUGUGAAAGCCCACGGCUCAACCGUGGAGGGUCAUUGGAAACUGGAAAACUUGAGUGCAGAAGAGGAAAGUGGAAUUCCAUGUGUAGCGGUGAAAUGCGCUGAGAUA